This 719-nucleotide ribosomal RNA is filed under the name uncultured bacterium. RNAcentral describes it as "bacterial SSU rRNA". It matches the Rfam family "Bacterial small subunit ribosomal RNA", at positions 397 to 1105 of the family's 1533-position model. The record is from RNAcentral.
CCGCGUGAGUGAUGAAGGUUUUCGGAUCGUAAAACUCUGUUGUUAGGGAAGAACAAGUACGAGAGUAACUGCUCGUACCUUGACGGUACCUAACCAGAAAGCCACGGCUAACUACGUGCCAGCAGCCGCGGUAAUACGUAGGUGGCAAGCGUUGUCCGGAAUUAUUGGGCGUAAAGCGCGCGCAGGCGGUUUCUUAAGUCUGAUGUGAAAGCCCACGGCUCAACCGUGGAGGGUCAUUGGAAACUGGGAAACUUGAGUGCAGAAGAGAAGAGUGGAAUUCCACGUGUAGCGGUGAAAUGCGUAGAGAUGUGGAGGAACACCAGUGGCGAAGGCGACUCUUUGGUCUGUAACUGACGCUGAGGCGCGAAAGCGUGGGGAGCGAACAGGAUUAGAUACCCUGGUAGUCCACGCCGUAAACGAUGAGUGCUAAGUGUUAGAGGGUUUCCGCCCUUUAAUGCUGCAGCAAACGCAUUAAGCACUCCGCCUGGGGAGUACGGCCGCAAGGCUGAAACUCAAAGGAAUUGACGGGGGCCCGCACAAGCGGUGGAGCAUGUGGUUUAAUUCGAAGCAACGCGAAGAACCUUACCAGGUCUUGACAUCCUCUGACCCUCCUAGAGAUAGGACUUUCCCCUUCGGGGGACAGAGUGACAGGUGGUGCAUGGUUGUCGUCAGCUCGUGUCGUGAGAUGUUGGGUUAAGUCCCGCAACGAGCGCAACCCU